AGGGUUCGAUUCUGGCUCAGGAUGAACGCUAGCUACAGGCCUAACACAUGCAAGUCGAGGGGUAGCGUGAGGGAAGCUUGCUUCCCUUGGCGACGACCGGCGAAUGGGUGAGUCACGCGUGUCCAACCUGCCCCGUGCCCGGGGAUAGCCCUUGGAAAUGAGGAUUAAGACCCGAUAUGUGGCGCUUCCGCAUGGCGGCGCCAUGAAGCAGGCACGGGAUGGGGACGCGUCGGAUUAGCUUGACGGCGGGGCAACGGCCCACCGUGGCGACGAUCCGCAGGGGUUCUGAGAGGAAGGUCCCCCACACUGGCACUGAGACACGGGCCAGACUCCUACGGGAGGCAGCAGUGAGGAAUAUUGGUCAAUGGGCGGGAGCCUGAACCAGCCCAAGUAGCGUGCAGGACGACGGCCCUACGGGUUGUAAACUGCUUUUCCGGGAGGAUAAAGUGAGCCACGCGUGGUUCAUUGCAGGUAUCCCGGGAAUAAGGACCGGCUAAUUCCGUGCCAGCCGCCGC
RNAcentral lists this ribosomal RNA (515 nucleotides) under uncultured bacterium. RNAcentral describes it as "bacterial SSU rRNA". It matches the Rfam family "Bacterial small subunit ribosomal RNA", at positions 8 to 518 of the family's 1533-position model. The record is from RNAcentral.